This 395-nucleotide long non-coding RNA is filed under the name Homo sapiens (human). RNAcentral describes it as "HSALNT0327584". The record is from RNAcentral. Lineage: Eukaryota; Metazoa; Chordata; Mammalia; Primates; Hominidae.
AGAACUGAGAUCACUAAACCAAGAAGAGGAGGCACCUUGGACCUGGGUAAAGGCUCCUUUCCAAGCUACUGCACAAAGAGGCCCAGGAGAAAUCAAAAGAUCAUGGACUGUUUUUGCUAUUGCAUGUGUUCCACCUUCAGUAUGGACUGUUGCCCUCCUUGCAGAUGUCGAGAUGGAACCUCACCAGGGCUUCCUUCUGAAAUGAAACUUCCAGAAAGCAGCAGACAGACCACAGAACAUCCUUCCUAGAAAAAGAAAAGCCGUCUGUAGACCAGCAACAGCUCUGAUCACAUGACUGCAAGCAAGGUUUCCAAAGAAAUCAAAAUGAUAGCUUGAAGAAUGAGCAUUGACAAUUUCUUUGUAGAAAGAUUCAAAUUCACAAUGUGAUCAAUUAA